RNAcentral lists this ribosomal RNA (518 nucleotides) under bacterium enrichment culture clone ALO1_GLFRUDD03HGQ8A. RNAcentral describes it as "bacterial SSU rRNA". It matches the Rfam family "Bacterial small subunit ribosomal RNA", at positions 9 to 517 of the family's 1533-position model. The record is from RNAcentral.
GAGUUUGAUCUUGGCUCAGAUUGAACGCUGGCGGCAGGCCUAACACAUGCAAGUCGAGCGGAUGACGGGAGCUUGCUCCUUGAUUCAGCGGCGGACGGGUGAGUAAUGCCUAGGAAUCUGCCUGGUAGUGGGGGACAACGUUUCGAAAGGAACGCUAAUACCGCAUACGUCCUACGGGAGAAAGCAGGGGACCUUCGGGCCUUGCGCUAUCAGAUGAGCCUAGGUCGGAUUAGCUAGUUGGUGGGGUAAUGGCUCACCAAGGCGACGAUCCGUAACUGGUCUGAGAGGAUGAUCAGUCACACUGGAACUGAGACACGGUCCAGACUCCUACGGGAGGCAGCAGUGGGGAAUAUUGGACAAUGGGCGAAAGCCUGAUCCAGCCAUGCCGCGUGUGUGAAGAAAGGUCUUCGGAUUGUAAAAGCACUUUAAAGUUGGGAGGAAGGGCAGUAAGUUAAUACCUUGCUGUUUUGACGUUUACCGACAGAAUAAGCACCGGCUAACUCUAGUGCCAGCAGCCC